Molecule: ribosomal RNA, 482 nt
Filed under: uncultured bacterium
Lineage: Bacteria
Description: bacterial SSU rRNA
Rfam family: Bacterial small subunit ribosomal RNA
Source: RNAcentral
AUGAACGCUAGCGGCAGGCCUAACACAUGCAAGUCGAGGGGCAGCACAGGUAGCAAUACUGGGUGGCGACCGGCGGAUGGGUGCGUAACGCGUAUGCAACCUACCAUUGAUUGGGGCAUAGCCCGAAGAAAUUCGGAUUAAUACUCCAUAAUAUUCAUCAAAGGCAUCUUUUAUGAAUUAAAGCUUUUGCGAUCAAUGAUGGGCAUGCGUGACAUUAGUUAGUUGAUGAGGUAACGGCUCACCAAAACGAUGAUGUCUAGGGGUUCUGAGAGGAUUAUCCCCCACACUGGUACUGAGACACGGACCAGACUCCUACGGGAGGCAGCAGUGAGGAAUAUUGGUCAAUGGACGCAAGUCUGAACCAGCCAUGCCGCGUGCAGGAUGACGGCCCUAUGGGUUGUAAACUGCUUUUCCACGGGAAGAACCCUCCGACGUGUCGGAGACUGACGGUACCGUGGGAAUAAGCAUCGGCUAACUCCGUG